RNAcentral lists this ribosomal RNA (453 nucleotides) under uncultured Porphyromonadaceae bacterium. RNAcentral's name for it is "partial 16S ribosomal RNA". It matches the Rfam family "Bacterial small subunit ribosomal RNA", at positions 341 to 792 of the family's 1533-position model. The record is from RNAcentral. Lineage: Bacteria; Pseudomonadati; Bacteroidota; Bacteroidia; Bacteroidales; Porphyromonadaceae.
ACGGGAGGCAGCAGUGAGGAAUAUUGGUCAAUGGGCGGAAGCCUGAACCAGCCAAGUCGCGUGAGGGAAGACGGUCCUAUGGAUUGUAAACCUCUUUAGCCAGGGAGCAAUAAGCGCCAUGCAUGGUGUGAUGAGAGUACCUGGAGAAUAAGGAUCGGCUAACUCCGUGCCAGCAGCCGCGGUAAUACGGAGGAUCCGAGCGUUAUCCGGAUUUAUUGGGUUUAAAGGGUGCGCAGGCGGCCCUGUAAGUCAGCGGUUAAAUCGUGGAGCUCAACUCCAUCCCGCCGUUGAUACUGCAGGGCUUGAUUGCGGUCGAGGUUGGCGGAAUUCGACGUGUAGCGGUGAAAUGCAUAGAUAUGGCGAAGAACUCCGAUUGCGUAGGCAGCUGACCAGGCCGUAAAUGACGCUCAUGCACGAAAGUGCGGGGAUCGAACAGGAUUAGAUACCCUGGUA